This 253-nucleotide ribosomal RNA is filed under the name uncultured bacterium. RNAcentral's name for it is "partial 16S ribosomal RNA". It matches the Rfam family "Bacterial small subunit ribosomal RNA", at positions 524 to 776 of the family's 1533-position model. The record is from RNAcentral.
UACAGAGGUCUCAAGCGUUGUUCGGAUUCAUUGGGCGUAAAGGGUGCGUAGGUGGCGCGCUAAGUCAGGUGUGAAAUUUCGGAGCUUAACUCCGAAACUGCAUUUGAUACUGGCGUGCUUGAGGACUGGAGAGGAGACUGGAAUUCAUGGUGUAGCAGUGAAAUGCGUAGAUAUCGUAAGGAAGACCAGUGGCGAAGGCGGGUCUCUGGACAGUUCCUGACGCUGAGGCACGAAGGCCAGGGGAGCAAACGGG